CCAAGGUCUCAAAGAGCUCACCAGAGUCUGCUCUGAGACUGCUUUUGUUCUGUCCAGGGCUUUUCGUCCUGAUAGAAGCUCCAACAGUACAACUCCGAAGCUAUAGACAUCGGCUUUCGCAGACAGUUUACCUGCAGAUUUGUUAACCAGGAUACCUGUUGCAAGAUACUCUGGAGCUGCAUAUCCUUGAGUUCCCAUGAUUCGAGUGGAGACGUGAGUUAAAUCCCCAGUUGGACCAGCUUUUGCGAGACCGAAAUCUGAAAGCUUGGGAUUGAAAUCCUACAUCACAUGAAUACAAUAUAAGCUGGAAAGCCUACAACCCAAUUUAUUCAAUGCUUUUUCCGGUGGCAGAUUCUUCGCAAAUACCUGAUCGAGGAGUAUGUUAGAUGCCUUAACAUCUCGAUAUAUUACUUGAUAAUCUGGAUUGUGCAAAAAUGAAAGUCCCCUUGCUGCACCAACUGCGACUUUGAUUCUUGUUGCCCAAUCUAGUGGCUGAACACUUCCUAGAAAGCAAAUCAAACCACAGGUAAGCAAUGCAUAACUAAAGAGCGAUUAUUCGUGCUGAUUCAGUGUAGAUGCACUUUUAAAUAGAUGGUUCUCCAAGCUGCCUCUCGCCAUGUAUUCAUAGACUAACAGUCGAUUCUCGCCCUCAGAGCAGUGGCCAAUCAGCUUGACCAAAUUUGGAUGCUGAAGCUGACCAAGAUAGUUAACCUCGGUCUGCGAUUACUAGUCGUCGUAAGUAUGUGAUGAACUAGCCUUAACAAGUCAAUGAUGCAGUUAGUAAUUUGAAUUCAUAGCACAAACCAGCCAUUCCUUGUGGCCCUGAAAACUCUCAAGUUUAAGCUUCUUGAUGGCAAUCAUCAUUCCAUUACCAGGUCUUGUGGCGGUGAGAGUCUGUUCAUCUAGCCAACCUUUGUAAACACAACCAAAUCCACCUUCGCCGAUGAGAUUAUCCGGGCGGAAGUUUCUAGUAGCACUCUUCAGCUCAUUCAAAGUGAAGGCCUUUGAGCUCGAGGCAAGUAAGAUUUCAUCCUCGGUUCUCUGCAAGUUAGUGUUUUCGCCAUAUGAAGGCAUGGUGAAAGUUGAGGCGGUGGAACAAGUUGCCAAAGAUGAAGAAGGAACUGAAGAUGAGCUUGUUCUACUGGCAACAACUUUGGAAGGUUCUGUCAUGUAGAUGCAGAUUAAUGUAAAGAGCUUCGAUAAGACCAAAAUUCAAGUAACAAAACCUAGAAAUUCCAUUUUCCCUUUCUAAAGAAAGGAAAAAAGUCAACAUCAAUAUAAGCAAAAUCCCCACUGAGGCAAUUGAACAAUCAGUUGGAAGGCGUACGCGAAGAAGAGCCGCGGCUGCGCAAGGAGGUAGCCGUCGACGGAGGGGCAAAGCAGUUCCCCAUCUCCCACCGCCAGCGACGACGAAGAAGCUCACGUUGGUGGAGGAAAACCAGACCUCCUCUCCCCCCCCUAUUUAUAGCCCUCCUCCUCCUCCUGGAAGAGAAACAGAGGAAGGCGAGGGGAGACCGAGGCGACGAACAGAGUCGCCGCUAAACGACGGUCUCAUGACCACAAUCCAAGCAAAAUGAAGACGGACCUGAAAAAACGAAAUGAUGUGUCUUUUUCGACGGUCAAUUCGAAGAAAGAAAGAAAGAAAGA
Molecule: long non-coding RNA, 1647 nt
Organism: Zingiber officinale
Lineage: Eukaryota; Viridiplantae; Streptophyta; Magnoliopsida; Zingiberales; Zingiberaceae
Exons: 3
Source: RefSeq, a predicted model, not a curated record